RNAcentral lists this ribosomal RNA (932 nucleotides) under uncultured Bacteroidota bacterium. RNAcentral's name for it is "bacterial SSU rRNA". It matches the Rfam family "Bacterial small subunit ribosomal RNA", at positions 1 to 917 of the family's 1533-position model. Lineage: Bacteria; Pseudomonadati; Bacteroidota. The record is from RNAcentral.
UGGAUCCAGACUUUGAUUAUGGCUCAGGAUGAACGCUAGCGACAGGCUUAACACAUGCAAGUCGAGGGGCAGCGGGGAGCGAGGCUUGCUUUGCUCCGCCGGCGACCGGCGCACGGGUGAGUAACACGUAUGCAACCUGCCCCUGUCUGUGGGAUAAUCGGAAGAAAUUCCGUCUAAUACCGCAUAACGCCCUAAGAGGACAUCCUCUUAGGGCCAAAGGAGCGAUCCGGACAGGGAUGGGCAUGCGGCGCAUUAGGCAGUUGGCGGUGUAACGGACCACCAAACCGACGAUGCGUAGGGGUUCUGAGAGGAAGGUCCCCCACACUGGUACUGAGACACGGACCAGACUCCUACGGGAGGCAGCAGUGAGGAAUAUUGGUCAAUGGGCGGGAGCCUGAACCAGCCAAGUCGCGUGAGGGAAGACGGCCCUAUGGGUUGUAAACCUCUUUUGCCGGGGAGCAAGAGGCGCCACGCGUGGCGCCGUGAGAGUACCCGGAGAAAAAGCAUCGGCUAACUCCGUGCCAGCAGCCGCGGUAAUACGGAGGAUGCGAGCGUUAUCCGGAUUUAUUGGGUUUAAAGGGUGCGUAGGCGGGCUGUUAAGUCAGCGGUAAAAUUGCGGGGCUCAACCCCGUCGAGCCGUUGAAACUGGCGGCCUUGAGUAGGCGAGAAGUGUGCGGAAUGCGUGGUGUAGCGGUGAAAUGCAUAGAUAUCACGCAGAACUCCGAUUGCGAAGGCAGCACGCCGGCGCCUUACUGACGCUGAAGCACGAAAGCGUGGGUAUCGAACAGGAUUAGAUACCCUGGUAGUCCACGCAGUAAACGAUGAGCGCUAAUUGUCCGGGGGGGAAUGACCCCUGGGUGAUACAGUGAAAACGUUAAGCGCUCCACCUGGGGAGUACGCCGGCAACGGUGCAACUCAAAUGAAUUGACGGA